UCAGAAGUCCAAAGUGUCACGCUGGUGCUGCAGCCGCGGGCUGUUCCCACUGUAAAACUGACUGAACCAGCGCCUGUGUUUCUGGAUGGCUGAGUCCUCCUUCACCAGGAGAGGCUUGGAGAUGUACUUCUUAUUGUUCCAGAUCAUCACGUCUCGCUCAAACUGGACACAAAAAGAGAUUCGGAGAAAGUCCCUGGAUGGUAAAUUAUUAUUCCAAAAAGCUCUGACAAAGACCAACAGUGAGAUGCAGUAACACUCUCUGUAUAUUUAACUGAGAGAGGUUGGACCUGACUGAGAGAUGACCUGGAAGAGCAGAUGCACAAAGAGGGAAGGGGGGUUGAGUUGUCAGAAUAUGACGAAGCAGGAUUUGUUUUGCUGACUCAGCAUUCUGUAAACAUGUUCGGAGCUUCUGGAGGUCUUGCUUUCAUGACUAAAUGUCCCAAUAACAUGAUUGCUUUUUAAUGUUGCUAUGCUAUGAUGUGAUGUGAUCCUCCAAUCAAAACAUCUCUAGAGUUAUCCUGUAGAAUCCCCUGCUAUGAUAUUCAUCAGUCCAACUCGGUGUAUUCAGAUCUGUCUGUUGUCUUUGCUUGCUGGGAGUGAAUAAAUCUUGGCUGCGCCUGAC
Long non-coding RNA from Notolabrus celidotus (New Zealand spotty), 622 nucleotides. RefSeq lists it as uncharacterized. NCBI's taxonomy places the organism in Eukaryota, Metazoa, Chordata, Actinopteri, Labriformes, Labridae. The record is from RefSeq and is a predicted model, not a curated record. The transcript is spliced from 2 exons.